Molecule: unclassified non-coding RNA, 1999 nt
Filed under: Habropoda laboriosa
Lineage: Eukaryota; Metazoa; Arthropoda; Insecta; Hymenoptera; Apidae
Description: high mobility group protein DSP1-like, transcript variant X1
Source: RNAcentral
UUUCUUCGUAUAUCCUUCUUUUCCUUGUUGGUGGUACCGUUUGGUAAACGAGGCUGAAGUGACAGACAGACCGUCCGCGUGUACGAUAUGUCGGAACACCACCGCGUAGCCGGUGGCUGGGGCACAGCGAGCCCAGGAAGCCGUGAGGAUGCCUCCGGUGGUACCGCCUGGUGGCCUUCGGGUUUAAACACCGUAUCGCCUGAACAACAACAGCAGCAACAGCAACAACAACAGAAUCUACAUCAACACCUGAUGAAUCAACAACAGCAACUAACACAACAGCAGCAGCUAACACAACAGCAGCAAGCACAGCAACAGCAGCAUCAUCAGGAUAUCGUUAGGAGUACCGCUGCUGCAACCCAGCAGCUUUUCUCCUACAAGAUGGCCUCCAGCUUUCAGAAUCCAGCCACCACAGGCACGCAGUCGAAUCCCGUUUCGACGUCUACGCCGGUUGGCUCCUGCAUGAGGGGAGGCUAUGAUUAUAGAUUAGGAACGGGGCCCGGAACAGGCGGAGGUGUACCUGGUACACCUUCCGCACCACCGCCUGGCGUACAGUGGUGGUACCCAGGUGGAGUUAUGGACGCCGGACAGAACAACCUGCAUCAGCAAUUGCAGGGCCAACAACAGCAGCAGCACCUCUCGCCCAUUACCACACAAACGUCCACGCCCCCCGUUAUGUCCCCGCACCAGAUACAGCAGUUACCGCAGCAACAAAAUAAUCUUCAGCAAAAUAACGCUCAGAGCUUACAACAGCGAGACAAUAUGCCGAGAGGAAAGGAUUCGAAGCCAAGAGGACGGAUGACCGCAUACGCGUUCUUCGUGCAAACAUGUCGUCAGGAACACAAAAAGAAACAUCCCGAGGAGAAGAUCGUUUUUCGGGAAUUUUCUAAAAAAUGUGCAAUGAGGUGGAAGACUAUGUCAGAUAAAGAAAAAAAACGAUUCCAUGAAAUGGCAGAGAAAGAUAAAAAGAGAUAUGAUGCGGAGAUGCAAAAUUAUACGCCACCGAAAGGCGAAAGUAAAGGCAGGGGCAAAAAACGCAAACACAUUAAAGAUCAUAAUGCUCCCAAAAGAUCAUUAUCUGCCUUCUUCUGGUUCUGCAAUGAUGAGCGCGGAAAAGUGAAAAUGCUGAAUCCUGAGUUCGGUGUUGGUGAUAUAGCUAAGGAGCUUGGUAAAAAAUGGUCAGAUGCAGAUUCUGAAACCAAAUCGAAAUAUGAGGCUAUGGCAGAAAAGGACAAGGCUCGAUAUGAAAGAGAAAUGACUGCGUACAAAAAGAAAAUGAAAGAUGGCGCACCAGUAGUAGGAGUUCCAGCGAAUACUGUAAAAAGUGACAGUGAAGAAGAGUAUAAAGAAGAUGAUGAAUAGCGGAUGCACGACAAAAUUUCAUCUAUCACCCCGUGUCCUUGAUCCUGAAAGCAUACCUCACCUACUGAUAGCAGAAUGGAAAGAUAUGGUGCCCACUUUCUAUCAGGUGGAAGGCGCAGGGGCUCAAUCAUUGUUGACAUUGUCUCCAGACUAUGUUAAAAACUAUCGUAGUUACAAAUAAACCAGGAUACGGCGGCUCCAUAGUUGGAUGGUAUCAUUCGAAUAGUUUGAUAUUUAUCAGUUCAGUUCAUUCGCUGCCAGUGUAAGAAGACUUAUUGUAUAUCCUUGUACAGAAUAUUUCUUUAAAUCAAAUCUGUCGCAGGUGGGGCAUGGGGCUGCUUUGUAUGAAUGUAAUUCAUUUAAGUAUAUGUCGUAUAGUUGUAAGUAUUAGGAUAAGUAUAUAUUUUAAUGCAACUUCGAUUCUACAUCUGCGUCAACAUGUGAUAGUUUCCACUAACGAUGUAUUCUAAACCACGAGAUUGAGCCUUAUAGCUUAUAAGUAAUUGGAAUCGAGACAAAAUAUCUAAUUCACAACUUUACUAAAUCAAAAUUGGGGCGAUAACCCAGCCAUGGAGCAGUGGUAUUGUCAAGUACUACAUAACAUAUAGACAGCGAAUAAUUUCUGUUCGUAAGAAAG